ACGCUGGCGGCAUGCUUUACACAUGCAAGUCGGACGGCAGCACAGAGAAGCUUACUUCUUGGGUGGCGAGUGGCGAACGGGUGAGUAAUAUAUCGGAACGUACCGAGUAAUGGGGGAUAACUAAUCGAAAGAUUAGCUAAUACCGCAUAUUCUCUGAGGAGGAAAGCAGGGGACCUUCGGGCCUUGCGUUAUUCGAGCGGCCGAUAUCUGAUUAGCUAGUUGGUGGGGUAAAGGCCUACCAAGGCGACGAUCAGUAGCGGGUCUGAGAGGAUGAUCCGCCACACUGGGACUGAGACACGGCCCAGACUCCUACGGGAGGCAGCAGUGGGGAAUUUUGGACAAUGGGCGCAAGCCUGAUCCAGCCAUGCCGCGUGUCUGAAGAAGGCCUUCGGGUUGUAAAGGACUUUUGUCAGGGAAGAAAAGGCUGUUGCUAAUACCGACAGCUUAUGACGGUACCUGAAGAAUAAGCACCGGCUAACUACGUGCCAGCAGCCGCGGUAAUACGUAGGGUGCGAGCGUUAAUCGGAAUUACUGGGCGUAAAGCGAGCGCAGACGGUUGCUUAAGCAGGAUGUGAAAUCCCCGGGCUCAACCUGGGAACUGCGUUCUGAACUGGGUGACUAGAGUGUGACAGAGGGAGGUAGAAUUCCACGUGUAGCAGUGAAAUGCGUAGAGAUGUGGAGGAAUACCGAUGGCGAAGGCAGCCUCCUGGGAUAACACUGACGUUCAUGCUCGAAAGCGUGGGUAGCAAACAGGAUUAGAUACCCUGGUAGUCCACGCCCUAAACGAUGUCAAUUAGCUGUUGGGCAACUUGAUUGCUUAGUAGCGUAGCUAACGCGUGAAAUUGACCGCCUGGGGAGUACGGUCGCAAGAUUAAAACUCAAAGGAAUUGACGGGGACCCGCACAAGCGG
RNAcentral lists this ribosomal RNA (910 nucleotides) under uncultured bacterium. Its description in RNAcentral is "bacterial SSU rRNA". It matches the Rfam family "Bacterial small subunit ribosomal RNA", at positions 33 to 932 of the family's 1533-position model. The record is from RNAcentral.